Molecule: ribosomal RNA, 373 nt
Filed under: uncultured bacterium
Lineage: Bacteria
Description: bacterial SSU rRNA
Rfam family: Bacterial small subunit ribosomal RNA
Source: RNAcentral
GACGAACGCUGGCGGCGUGCUUAACACAUGCAAGUCGAGCGGUAAGGCCCUUCGGGGUACACGAGCGGCGAACGGGUGAGUAACACGUGGGUGACCUGCCUCUAGCUCUGGGAUAAGCCUGGGAAACUGGGUCUAAUACCGGAUAUGACUCCACGGCGCAUGUUGUGGGGUGGAAAGCCUUGUGUGGCUAGAGAUGGGCCCGCGGCCUAUCAGCUUGUUGGUGGGGUGANGGCCUACCAAGGCGACGACGGGUAGCCGGCCUGAGAGGGCGACCGGCCACACUGGGACUGAGACACGGCCCAGACUCCUACGGGAGGCAGCAGUGGGGAAUCUUGCGCAAUGGGCGAAAGCCUGACGCAGCGACGCCGCGUGA